Molecule: small nuclear RNA, 241 nt
Filed under: Meriones unguiculatus (Mongolian gerbil)
Lineage: Eukaryota; Metazoa; Chordata; Mammalia; Rodentia; Muridae
Description: 7SK RNA (ENSMUGG00000001350.1)
Rfam family: 7SK RNA
About the family: 7SK was discovered as an abundant small nuclear RNA in the mid-70s but a possible function has only recently been suggested.
Source: RNAcentral
GGGUAAUCUGGUUGUGACAUCUGUAGCCCAUUGAUCACCAGGGUUGACCUGGGCUUAUAUGCCUAGCCAAGCAGGUGUUCCCUUCCUUGUUCACUGCUGUACUGAAGAGGAUGACCUCCACGAACAGCGGACUCUCUUCAGACAUGGAUUUAAGUGUAGCUGUUUCUCUAUGUGACAGCCUUAAGAAGUUCUUGGGCUGGAGAGAUGGCCCAGAGGUUAAGAGCACUGUCUGCUCUUCUAA